This 448-nucleotide ribosomal RNA is filed under the name uncultured bacterium. RNAcentral's name for it is "bacterial SSU rRNA". It matches the Rfam family "Bacterial small subunit ribosomal RNA", at positions 64 to 507 of the family's 1533-position model. The record is from RNAcentral.
GAGCGGAUGACGGGAGCUUGCUCCUUGAUUCAGCGGCGGACGGGUGAGUAAUGCCUAGGAAUCUGCCUGGUAGUGGGGGACAACGUUUCGAAAGGAACGCUAAUACCGCAUACGUCCUACGGGAGAAAGCAGGGGACCUUUGGGCCUUGCGCUAUCAGAUGAGCCUAGGUCGGAUUAGCUAGUUGGUGGGGUAAUGGCUCACCAAGGCGACGAUCCGUAACUGGUCUGAGAGGAUGAUCAGUCACACUGGAACUGAGACACGGUCCAGACUCCUACGGGAGGCAGCAGUGGGGAAUAUUGGACAAUGGGCGAAAGCCUGAUCCAGCCAUGCCGCGUGUGUGAAGGAGGUCUUCGGAUUGUAAAGCACUUUAAGUUGGGAGGAAGGGCAGUAAGUUAAUACCUUGCUGUUUUGACGUUACCGACAGAAUAAGCACCGGCUAACUCUGUG